Molecule: ribosomal RNA, 485 nt
Filed under: uncultured bacterium
Lineage: Bacteria
Description: bacterial SSU rRNA
Rfam family: Bacterial small subunit ribosomal RNA
Source: RNAcentral
GAUGAACGCUAGCGGCAGGCUUAACACAUGCAAGUCGAGGGGCAACACGGGUAGCAAUACCUGGUGGCGACCGGCGCAAGGGUGCGUAACGCGUGAGCAACAUACCCUAUACAGGGGGAUAAUCCAGGGAAACUUGGUCUAAUAUCCCAUAGGAUUUACAGAUGUCAUCAUCUAUAAAUUAAAGCUUCGGUGGUAUAGGAUUGGCUCGCGUGACAUUAGCUAGAUGGUGGGGUAACGGCCUACCAUGGCCAUGAUGUCUAGGGGUUCUGAGAGGAAGACCCCCCACACUGGGACUGAGACACGGCCCACGACUCCUACGGGAGGGCAGCAGUGAGGAAUAUUGGACAAUGGAUGGAAAUACUGAUCCAGCCAUGCCGCGUGCAGGAAGACGGCCCUAUGGGUUGUAAACUGCUUUUAUAUGGGAGCAAUAAGGUCUACGCGUAGACCGAUGAGAGUACCAUAUGAAUAAGCAUCGGCUAACUCCG